Molecule: transfer RNA, 85 nt
Filed under: Escherichia coli
Lineage: Bacteria; Pseudomonadati; Pseudomonadota; Gammaproteobacteria; Enterobacterales; Enterobacteriaceae
Also listed under: 3 other names
Description: tRNA-Tyr
Rfam family: tRNA
About the family: Transfer RNA (tRNA) molecules are approximately 80 nucleotides in length. Their secondary structure includes four short double-helical elements and three loops (D, anti-codon, and T loops).
Source: RNAcentral
GGUGGGUUUCCCGAGCGGCCAAAGGGAGCAGACUGUAAAUCUGCCGUCAUCGACUUCGAAGGUUCGAAUCCUUCCCCCACCACCA